Molecule: ribosomal RNA, 583 nt
Filed under: Skvortzovia dabieshanensis
Lineage: Eukaryota; Fungi; Basidiomycota; Agaricomycetes; Hymenochaetales
Description: SSU rRNA
Rfam family: Bacterial small subunit ribosomal RNA
Source: RNAcentral
CAGCAGUCCAAAAAUAUUAGUCAAUGCUCGCAAGAGUGAACUAGCUAACUGAAAUCUUUUAUGUGUCAUAAAGGAUAAAGUAAGAAAAAAUAAUGAUAUUAUCUUACUAUUAGUGUCGUCCAAAUACUGGUGCCAGAAGACUCGGUAAGGCCAGAGACGCAAACGUUAAUCGUCUUAAAAAGGCGUAAAGGGUGUGUAGGCUGCUUUAAACAUGAAAGAAAACAUAAUGAACUAAUCUAUGUCUUCAUCAUUUAUUAAAGCUAGAAUCAAAAAGAGGUUAUAUUAAAGAAUACUUAUAGUAAGGGUAAAAUCUGUAGAGAAUAAGUAGAAUAUUAAAGGCGAAGGCAUUUUACCACUAAUGAUUGACGCUGAGAAACGAAGGUAAGGAUAGGAAACAGGAUUAGAGACCCAGGUACCCCUUACUGUCAACGAUGAAUGGUAGUCACUAUUUUAAUAGAUCAGUAGUGGCAAUGUUAACACGUUAACCAUUCCGCCUUGUGAGUACGACUGCAAAGUUGAAAACAAAAAAAUUAGUCGGUCUCGGAGCAAACGAAUUGAAGCAUGUUAUUUAAUUCAUUAAUCC